This 72-nucleotide transfer RNA is filed under the name Stegodyphus dumicola. RNAcentral describes it as "tRNA-Thr". It matches the Rfam family "tRNA". From Rfam's summary of the family: Transfer RNA (tRNA) molecules are approximately 80 nucleotides in length. Lineage: Eukaryota; Metazoa; Arthropoda; Arachnida; Araneae; Eresidae. The record is from RNAcentral.
GCCUUCGUGGUGUAACGGUAGCACGCUUGACCUGUAUUCCAGAGGUCCGUGGUUCGAUUCCCGGCGAAGGCG